UUUUUGGAGAGUUUGAUCCUGGCUCAGGACGAACGCUGGCGGCGUGCCUAAUACAUGCAAGUCGAGCGAAUCUGAUGGGAGCUUGCUCCUUUUCAGAUUAGCGGCGGACGGGUGAGUAACACGUGGGUAACCUGCCUGUAAGACUGGGAUAACUCCGGGAAACCGGGGCUAAUACCGGAUAACUUUUUUCUUCGCAUGAAGGAGAAUUGAAAGGUGGCACUAGCUACCACUUACAGAUGGACCCGCGGCGCAUUAGCUAGUUGGUGAGGUAACGGCUCACCAAGGCGACGAUGCGUAGCCGACUUGAGAGGGUGAUCGGCCACACUGGGACUGAGACACGGCCCAGACUCCUAC
RNAcentral lists this ribosomal RNA (354 nucleotides) under Heyndrickxia sporothermodurans. RNAcentral describes it as "bacterial SSU rRNA". It matches the Rfam family "Bacterial small subunit ribosomal RNA", at positions 1 to 342 of the family's 1533-position model. Lineage: Bacteria; Bacillati; Bacillota; Bacilli; Caryophanales; Bacillaceae. The record is from RNAcentral.